UGCAAUCGGUGGUGUCUUGUUUGCUCAUC
Molecule: non-coding RNA, 29 nt
Filed under: Mus musculus (house mouse)
Lineage: Eukaryota; Metazoa; Chordata; Mammalia; Rodentia; Muridae
Source: RNAcentral